Molecule: long non-coding RNA, 646 nt
Organism: Sinocyclocheilus rhinocerous
Lineage: Eukaryota; Metazoa; Chordata; Actinopteri; Cypriniformes; Cyprinidae
Exons: 3
Source: RefSeq, a predicted model, not a curated record
CAUGUUCAUGUUGUGGGAACUGUCCUCUCAGUUUGUAAAGGAGAGGAUACAGUUUGGUCAUUGUUUGGUCUUGUAGGGAGCGGGAACGGCGGGAAAAAGAGAGAGAUGAAUGGGAGAGGCUGUAUGGUCGUCAGAGUCACUCGCCCUCCCCCAAUGCCAAAUACGGUCGAGACUACAGCUCAUCCAGAAGGAGAUCACGCUCAAGAUCACGGAGUCCUCAUUACCGGUACUGAAGCUUCUGCUGAUAAAACAGUCAGGCCACAAGAUGUCAAACAGAUGUUUUAGGAGUGAAUGGUGACCAUGAUGGCAAGAGUUUACAUAGAAUUUUGGGGAAAACAAUAUCAAUAAAAUUAAUUUCACUCACUUCAACUUCUCUUUUACAUCUUCUAAAGGAUGCAAUGGAAACAACGUCAUUUCUAAAAUGUGAAAAUUAAACACCAUCAUGCUCUGAAACCACAUUUCGCCUCCCAUUCUUGAUAUUACACAGCAGGGUUGCCAGAAAUGCUUUGAGCUGCUAGGAUUCUAAUAAACUUUGCAGAUUAUUUUGAGUCAGUCUGUGUUGAAUUUUGUGACAUAAGAUUGGGAUGAACCGUAUUCUUUCCCGUGUCUCUUACCCCCAUUAAAGAGAGAGUUCACCUAAAAAAAA